AUGGGAAAGGGAAACGAAGACCCCUAUCUCCACUGCUCCUCCAUCCAAUGUUCCACUGACCAGCCCCCUUUCCAACAGAUCUCCUUUACAGGAAAGGGCUCAGAUGAGAAGAAACCGUUCAAAGGAAAAGGCAAGACCGCCUCUUCCCAUUCCAGUGAGAAGCACAUACAAAGGCAAGGAUUAGAGCCAAAUCCAAAAAUCCAAAAGAGGAGGAGAAGUCCCAGGAGACCAAGCCCAAAGCCAGAAACAGCACUGCUAGAUUAGAACCAGAGUCCAGCUCAUAUUGGGGAAACUUCACGAAAAGAAAAAUCAGUUCCAAGGACAGCUGCCAAGACAGAGCAGGGAACUGUCCAGAAGAGGAACGCAGCUUGAUGUUAAAAAAAAAAAAAAAAUCAAAGUCCUCCACUGCUGUGCACUACAGUGAAAUCCAGGAGAUCUGUGAUGCCCACCAUAAGGGACAUUCGAGGGCUUGCACUGGGCACAGCCAGUGGCACAGGUCUGGGGCCCUAGGAUUCCAAUGACCGGCACUUGGAAAAAGCUUGGUGACCUCUGUUGGAGCUAUGCUGGAGGCUACUUAUCAAGACCUAGCCCAGGUGUGGGCACAGCAGGUCCAUUUUCCACUGACCUGAGAGCAGCUCACAUUGCUGACUUGGAUCUGGGGGCCUCUGUGUGCCCAGGUGCAGACCUUCUAUGCCAUUGCCACCCAGGGAGCUUAAGUCUUACCUGCUGAGGGUUGGCUUGUCUCAGCCACACUGUCUGGUCCUGGGGAUAGAGGCCUGAAUAGAGAAGCUCACCCUUUUUUGGGCAUGAUGUAACUGAGCAUGUCAGUGGAUCAGAUGAGGCUUGAGCUGA
RNAcentral lists this long non-coding RNA (852 nucleotides) under Homo sapiens (human). RNAcentral's name for it is "non-protein coding lnc-LMLN-2:8". Lineage: Eukaryota; Metazoa; Chordata; Mammalia; Primates; Hominidae. The record is from RNAcentral.